Molecule: long non-coding RNA, 926 nt
Organism: Poecile atricapillus (Black-capped chickadee)
Lineage: Eukaryota; Metazoa; Chordata; Aves; Passeriformes; Paridae
Exons: 4
Source: RefSeq, a predicted model, not a curated record
CUCUCAGCUUAAGGCCAAUUCCUCUUGUCCUCUCACCGCAGGCAAGGCUGAAGAGACCGGCCCUCACCUCCUUUCAGGUGGUUGUGGAGAGCAAUGAGGUGCCUCCUGAGGCUCCUCGAGACUAAACAAACCCAUAUAAAUAACUUGGGACAUGCUGUGUUGAGGGCCCUGUCAGUCACAUCCAGCUCAGUUACUGGAGAGCUCGACUCCAGAAGGUCACAGAGCUGCCUGCCAGCACACCUGCCACUGCACUGAGAGCAGGCAGACUUUAAAUAACCCUUUUUGUCCCUUUCCUGUCCACCUGUCAUGGAAGAGCUCAGUGCAGCUCCACAGCUACAACUCGCCCGCGUUUGCUCUUAAAGGAAUAGCCGAGUCACUCUCUUCUAGCAAAAGCAGCAGCACCUCAUUCACAGCGGAGUGUCAGGAUACAGAUCAGGUUAAGAAACAACUGUCACUUCCCACCAGCUAUGUCCUCGCUUCCACUGCCACCCACAAGGGCUGCCACAUGAGCAAGCAAUUGUAACCACUGGGCAUAAAAGGUAAGUAAAGCACCACAACUUUAUGACUGCAAGAUUAUGAAAUCCUUCCCAAGGAGGGGGAUGUCUCAAGGCCCUCCUGAAGCCCAUCAUAGCGAGACGACUCUUUCCUUAUUCUGUCUGCAUCUCCCAAGAUUGAUUAAUAUGGAUAAUCUUCCAGUUCAGACAAGAUUAGUCUUUGAAGGUCUACAAUUUGAAGUAAAGAUGGCAAGUUUGAAAGCUAGUUUCAAGCAGGAACAAGUGGCACCUGUCAGUUCCCUACUAGAACCCCUUGUUUAGUCUAUAAAUUACCAGGUAUUCCUGAUGUACACAAUUAUGGUGAUACACUGAUGUAUCUAAAACUAAGUAAUCAUGAAUUUUAACUGCUGUACUUUAAAAAUAAAUUCAAAA